CAGGGUAUGGCUGAGACAGACAAGCAUCUCCCUUACACCGAGAAGACAUUCAUGCAAGUUGGAUUACCCUGA
RNAcentral lists this transfer RNA (72 nucleotides) under Minytrema melanops (spotted sucker). RNAcentral's name for it is "tRNA-Val". Lineage: Eukaryota; Metazoa; Chordata; Actinopteri; Cypriniformes; Catostomidae. The record is from RNAcentral.